GUAGUGGUGGUUCAGUGGUAGAGGUCUCGCCUUCCAUGCGGGAGACCCAGGUUCGAUUCCUGGACAGUACA
Molecule: non-coding RNA, 71 nt
Organism: Orycteropus afer afer
Lineage: Eukaryota; Metazoa; Chordata; Mammalia; Tubulidentata; Orycteropodidae
Source: the annotation of a RefSeq genome assembly